Brienomyrus brachyistius is the source of this 1485-nucleotide long non-coding RNA. RefSeq lists it as uncharacterized. The transcript has 2 exons. Lineage: Eukaryota; Metazoa; Chordata; Actinopteri; Osteoglossiformes; Mormyridae. The record is from RefSeq and is a predicted model, not a curated record.
ACACACACAGACACUCACGCACACACAGACACACGCACACACAGACACACUCACACACACACAGAUACUCACGCACACGCACACAGACACUCACGCACACAUAGACACUCACACACAGACACGCACACACAGACACUCACACACAGACACUCACGCAAAUGCACACACACGCACACACAGACACUCACGCACACACACACACACACGCACACACAAACACAGACACUCAUGCACACACAGACACUCACGCACACAGACACUCACACGCACGCAGACACUCAUGCACACAGACUCUCACACACACACAGACACUCAUGCACACACAGACACAGACACUCACGCACACAGACUCACCCACAGCUCCUAACACAGGCCUAAGCUGGUUACACAGUGAAAAACAGAUCAAAACAACACAAGUCUUGCCGAAACUCUGGUGGGCAGGGGUGCCCCCCCCCCCAACCAGAUCAGUCAGAAUAUGUUCCAAAUUAUUCAGGGCCGCAGUCACUCAGGGGCCCUUGAAAUUGUCGUAACAUUCUCACUCUUUGUGGUUACUCUUAUAGUGGGAAAAAUUACUUUCUAAUAAGCAUUGCACUCGGUAGACUUCUGUCAUUUGUAAUUGCAAUUGCGGCAUUCAUUACCGAUAAGGUGGUGCUGUAUCGUAAUCGGCACAGUGCCGAUUACCAAUACUGCCAAAGAGAAAGAAGUGUGCUGGAUUUUUCCUUAAAACAGAGUGUCUGUCCCCCCCCCCCACAAAUUUUGUGGCUCUUCAAACAGGUGAGUAUAGAAUAAAAUAUACUUUGAAUCCAAGCAUGUCCAGUUUCUUAAAAAUGUUUCUUAAAUUAACAUUACAUCUCAUUGGCGUGUUGUUUUCAGCUGCGCAGAUACGGCUCAUAGAAUCCGCAAUUAAUUUGCUAAGCGAUUUCGCUAGAAGGCGAUUGGUGAGACGUUGGGGACUUCAUCUGAUAGACAGUUAAAAAGUAAUAAUUCAUGUUACUGAUGAGAUGCGAUGAAUUUGUGCAGGAGGCGAGGAGGCAGUUAAACGUGUUUUUAUUUAUUCGCACGGUGGGCGAAAUUAAAAAGAAGUGGUCCGACAUUAAAGUCGACGUGACAAAACGAGUGGCCGCUGACCAUAAGAGUCUUAACAGCACAGGCGGAGGGAGUGGAAUCCCCGGUCUCUCACUUUAUCGGGUGAGGAGGACGCCGAUGUCAGCUCGGACAAUAGUACAAGAUGUGCCCCCAGUGCCAAGGACGACGCAGGCGGCGAUGGUGCUGCUGUGCCGAGCACAUCUUUGGGCGCUGGCUGCACACAAUCCCCUGCCUCGGAAACCGGGGAGCGACCGUCCGGCCGUGUGCUGACUGAAGCUGUGCUGCAGUCACAAAAUGCAAUAGCACAUGCUGUAAGAGAUGUUGCCAAUGAAUUAAAACAUCUAAAUGAUACGCUGUGUGAUAUUAACAACACAUUAAAAGAAUUAGUUAAAAAAUAAA